GGUCGGGUCCUGUGCAACAGGCACCCGUGAACCGAGUCAGGGCCGGAAGGCAGCAGCUCUCAGCGGAGCNACCUGUGUGCCGCAGAUCGCCUGGCCGCC
RNAcentral lists this signal recognition particle RNA (99 nucleotides) under Acidimicrobiaceae bacterium. Its description in RNAcentral is "signal recognition particle sRNA small type". It matches the Rfam family "Bacterial small signal recognition particle RNA". From Rfam's summary of the family: The signal recognition particle (SRP) is a universally conserved ribonucleoprotein involved in the co-translational targeting of proteins to membranes. Archaeal SRP consists of a 7S RNA and homologues of the eukaryotic SRP19 and SRP54 proteins. In most bacteria, the SRP consists of a 4.5S RNA and the Ffh protein (a homologue of the eukaryotic SRP54 protein). Lineage: Bacteria; Bacillati; Actinomycetota; Acidimicrobiia; Acidimicrobiales; Acidimicrobiaceae. The record is from RNAcentral.